AGCAGCCGCGGUAAUUCCAGCUCCAAUAGCGUAUAUUAAAGUUGUUGCAGUUAAAAAGCUCGUAGUUGAAUUUCGGGAUCAAUAUGCCGGUCAUGCCUUGGUAUGCACUGGUAUCUUUGAUUUCUCCCUUCUGACGAACUUUGAUGUCAUUAAUUUGGUGUCAUAGGGAAUCAGGACUGUUACUUUGAAAAAAUUGAGUGUUUAAAGCAGGCUCACGCUUGAAUACAUUAGCAUGGAAUAAUGAAAUAGGACGUUUGAUUCUAUUUUGUUGGUUUCUAGGAUCGACGUAAUGAUUAAUAGGGAUAGUUGGGGGCAUUAGUAUUCAAUUGUCAGAGGUGAAAUUCUUGGAUUUAUUGAAGACUAACUACUGCGAAAGCAUUUGCCAAGGAUGUUUUCAUUAAUCAAGAACGAAAGUUAGGGGAUCGAAGACGAUCAGAUACCGUCGUAGUCUUAACCAUAAACUAUGCCGACUAGGGAUCGGAUGAUGUUAAUUUUUAAUGA
RNAcentral lists this ribosomal RNA (501 nucleotides) under uncultured Glomus. Its description in RNAcentral is "SSU rRNA". It matches the Rfam family "Eukaryotic small subunit ribosomal RNA", at positions 569 to 1074 of the family's 1831-position model. The record is from RNAcentral. Lineage: Eukaryota; Fungi; Glomeromycota; Glomeromycetes; Glomerales; Glomeraceae.